RNAcentral lists this long non-coding RNA (430 nucleotides) under Naja naja (Indian cobra). Its description in RNAcentral is "lncRNA (ENSNNAG00000010344.1)". Lineage: Eukaryota; Metazoa; Chordata; Lepidosauria; Squamata; Elapidae. The record is from RNAcentral.
GGUUCAGCCUGGGUGGAUGUGCCUUCUUCCUUCUUCCUGGUAUAUUUCUCUCCCUCAAGAUGAUGAAGCAUUUUCGUCCAAUCCGGCACAAAUUAGUUUCUACUGGAUCAGAUGAAACAUUUCCCUUCCACAUCCCACGGGUCACAUCUCUGCGGCUGUAAGACCUCCCUGACCACUCCUGCGGAUGCCCAGGUCACCUUGAAGCGGUUCAACGGAACAGGGGAGGCAUCUCAAAUCCCUAAGGGCUCCUUCUGCACCUAGCAGGGGUCUUCUUUUAAGGCCGAGGUCUCCAAACUUGGUGUUCAGAGUAUUGUAGCAUAAAUUCAGUGCCAGAGGAGUAAACGCAGAUGGCUGAGGCUUUAUUUAACUUCUUUAUAAACACAUAAAGUAAAUUUUACAAUACCAGUUGUAGAUUUCUCCAACAUUUCUC